UUGAAGAUUGUCUUUGAGGCGUGAGGGGAACAAAAUGGCUAAAGUGACAACAAUGGUCUGCGCUAUUAAGUGACAGAACGCCAUACAACUUGAAUAUUAUCAAAUAGAAACAUUAAUUAUUCGUUUGAAAUAUAUUCGGUACAUAUUGAUAGCUCGGCUUUACAUGGUCUAGGAAACGUAACCAUGUUAAACGACGUACCAAAGAGAUUAUCACGAAGCUCUGAAACAACUGAGGCCGAUGUUCGCGAAGAUGAAGAACAGACGAAAAGAUUUCAAGAUAUUAUCGACUUACUUCUUGCAGCGGGCUAUUUUCGAGCCAGAAUAAAAGGAUUAUCGAAUUUUGAUAAAGUAAUUGGCGGAAUGACGUGGUGUAUAGAGUCGUGUAACUUCGAUGUAGAUAUCGAUUUAUUGUUUCAAGAAAAUCUUACUAUAGGCCAAAAAAUUUCAUUGACCGAAAAAAUUGUAGCUAUGCUACCCAAAAUGAACUGUCCAUAUCGCAUAGAACCGCAUCAAAUUCAGGGCUUAGAUUGCAUUCAUAUUUUCCCUGUUAUUCAGUGGUUGGUUAAACGUUCGAUGGAAACUCGAGAAGAGACGGCAGAUUUUGUACGAUCGUUUGCUUUAAGUCAAUUUCACAAAAAGCAUUCCUUUGUUGAAGAUUCGCCUAUAGCACAAACUGGCAAGGAAAAUUUAAUAAAAAGUAUUCACUUGAUUAAAAAAUCGUACGAACCUCGACGUCUUUUUAAGCAUAAAGACGAUAUUAAAAGAGAAGAAUCUACUAAAUUUCUCGGUACCGUCCUGGAGUACGAAGCACCUUUGUAUUCUAUAAAAAUUGCUUCUCCAUCCGCUGAAAUUGCUUCGACAGAUGUCAAAGAAAAUGAUAAUAAAGAAGAGCUAAAGGAAAAGGAAAAUACAGAUCAAUUAGCUGGGAACCUAGCCGCUAUAGAAGAAAGCUCAGCUCGUUUAAGCGUAGUAGCCGUAGGUAAUAUCGUUGGUAUCCAAGCCCAAGAGAUUGCCAAAGUAACCGAAAAAUAUGCGACGAUGUCGAUUUCCCAACCUGAGGAACCUAGUGGCACAAAUUCUUCAGCAGCUUUGACUGCAUUAGAGAAUCAAAGAGCUGCGCUUCAGAAUCGUGUUCGUAAAUUAACGAAAGAGAAAGAUGCUUUAUCCGCUAAGCAUUUAGAAUUAAUUGAAAAACUGAACGAGUCUCGUACAAAGCGGCAAGCUAUUGAACGCUCAUUAAAGAAAGCAGAAGAAAUGGAUAUCAAUGAAAACGAUAGUAUCUACAAACGAUUGGAAGAACUUCUUUUAGUCCACGAUGGUUUGAAGGAGCAAGAACAUAAUUUCCGAGAACAAUGCAAAUUCGAUUUAAAUCUCUUGAAAGGUAAGCUACAAGAAAUCGAAAGUGGUACAUCGGAAGAGGAGGAAGAUCGCUUAAAGGAGUACGAGCAGCAAAAGGAAGCGCUCGCUAAAGUCAGAUUGCAGUUAGCUAAAAAGAAUAGAGCUAUUGCAUCCUUAACCAGACAAUUGGACGAUGUUCCCGGUCGUUCGGAACUUACGCAAUAUCAAAGACGAUUUAUGGAACUUUAUAAUCAAGUUUCGGCAAAACAUAAAGAAACAAAACAAUAUUACACAUUGUACAAUACUCUGGACGAUACGAAAGUUUAUUUAAGUAAGGAAUUAUCGCUACUAAAUUCGAUCCAAGAUAAUUAUAAUGAAGCAAUGGCAUCAACAAGCGGUAAAGAACAAUUUCUUAAACAAUUCGAUGAGAUCGUCGCAGGCGUAAAACGCAAUAAGGCGAAGGUGGAGAAACGAUGUGCUGACGAAAAAAAUAGAAGGGAUGCACUUAGUCGGCAACUGGUCACUCUGAUAGAACAACAACGCAAAUACGUCGCUGCGGUCAGACAACUCACUAUUGAAUGUCGUAAAAAUGAGGCCUUGCUCGCGCAACUGCGGGGUCCGUAGAUACAGAUUUCAUUUCCGCUUAUCUGAAAACAUAUCGGAUCCUCGUAUUUUUGCCUCACGAUUUUUUAUUUCGUUGUUAAUAUGAUGCUGAAUCUGUGUCGAUGGAAUGGAUACGUCAUCCGAACAGUACAAUAGUUAAGUCUCAACAUUGAGAGCAAGACUGCGAGGAACAAGCGAGAUACAUAUUCGAAAGGGUAAUUCGGUGUUACGGAAGCUUUUAAAUGAAACCAUUCCUUCGCUCCGUGUAAUAUUAAUUUUAUGAGAAAGAAUAUAUAUGAACUCACUAGAA
This is an RNA transcript of Bombus pyrosoma, 2251 nucleotides long. It is a transcript of the gene named coiled-coil domain-containing protein 93, with no coding region annotated. The record is from RefSeq and is a predicted model, not a curated record. The transcript is spliced from 14 exons. Lineage: Eukaryota; Metazoa; Arthropoda; Insecta; Hymenoptera; Apidae.